GAUGAACGCUAGCUACAGGCUUAACACAUGCAAGUCGAGGGGCAGCGGUAUCGAAAGCUUGCUUUCGGUAGCCGGCGACCGGCGCACGGGUGAGUAACGCGUAUCGAACCUGCCUCAUACUCGGGAAUAGCCUUGCGAAAGUAAGAUUAAUGCCCGGUGUUUUCAGAGUCCCGCAUGAGGCUUUGAACAAAGAUUUAUCGGUAUGAGAUGGCGAUGCGUCCCAUUAGCUUGUUGGCGGGGUAACGGCCCACCAAGGCAUCGAUGGGUAGGGGUUCUGAGAGGAAGGUCCCCCACAUUGGAACUGAGACACGGUCCAAACUCCUACGGGAGGCGGCAGUGAGGAAUAUUGGUCAAUGGGCGGAAGCCUGAACCAGCCAAGUAGCGUGCAGGAAGACGGCCCUCCGGGUUGUAAACUGCUUUUAGUUGGGAAUAAAACGGGGCUCGUGAGCCCCCUUGCAUGUACCAUCAGAAAAAGGACCGGCUAAUUCCGUG
RNAcentral lists this ribosomal RNA (492 nucleotides) under uncultured bacterium. Its description in RNAcentral is "partial 16S ribosomal RNA". It matches the Rfam family "Bacterial small subunit ribosomal RNA", at positions 28 to 507 of the family's 1533-position model. The record is from RNAcentral.